AUACGGAGGGUGCAAGCGUUAUUCGGAAUCACUGGGCGUAAAGGACGCGUAGGCGGGUUGGCAAGUCAGAUGUGAAAUCCUACAGCUUAACUGUAGAACUGCAUUUGAAACUGCUAACCUAGAGUAUGGGAGGGGGAGAUGGAAUUAGUGGUGUAGGGGUAAAAUCCGUAGAUAUCACUAGGAAUACCGAAAGCGAAGGCGAUCUCCUGGAACAUAACUGACGCUAAGGCGUGAAAGCGUGGGGAGCAAACAGGAGUAGAUACCCUAGUAGUCC
This 274-nucleotide ribosomal RNA is filed under the name uncultured bacterium. RNAcentral's name for it is "partial 16S ribosomal RNA". It matches the Rfam family "Bacterial small subunit ribosomal RNA", at positions 523 to 796 of the family's 1533-position model. The record is from RNAcentral.